Molecule: ribosomal RNA, 242 nt
Filed under: uncultured bacterium
Lineage: Bacteria
Description: partial 16S ribosomal RNA
Rfam family: Bacterial small subunit ribosomal RNA
Source: RNAcentral
GUAACCUGCCCUAGACAGGGGGAUAACUAUUGGAAACGAUAGCUAAGACCGCAUAGGUACGGACACUGCAUGGUGACCGUAUUAAAAGUGCCUCAAAGCACUGGUAGAGGAUGGACUUAUGGCGCAUUAGCUGGUUGGCGGGGUAACGGCCCACCAAGGCGACGAUGCGUAGCCGACCUGAGAGGGUGACCGGCCACACUGGGACUGAGACACGGCCCAGACUCCUACGGGAGGCAGCAUUG